CAGUAGGAGAAGCUGCAGGUGUGAAGGAUUAUCAUUAACGAUGACUGCCAUGCCAGGGUUAUCAGUCACAUCUGUGUCUCUGCUGCUGUAAUAGUUUAUCACUGUACAGCUUAAAUGUUUGGCUUAAUACACCACAAAUAUAAUGUAUAGAUCACAUAAAUUAAAGUAGUGAUUGAAGACAGUAAAUGGAAGAAUUGGAGGAUCACUUCAGCAGCUUCACACAGGACAACAGAGAGAUGUCAGUGACUCCAAGGGACGUUACACCAAGGGUUGUGACGCCAACGCCAAGGGGUGUGACGCCGAGGGUUGUGACCCCAAUGCCAAGGGUUGUGACGCCAACGCCAAGGGGAGUGACGCCGAGGGUUGUGACGCCAAUGCCAAGGGGCGUGACAAAGCGGCGGUAUGUGACAAAUUGGGAUGAGAAUGUGUUGGUUUUAUAAGAAAAGUAGAUGACGGCUACUGUAUAAGGAUGCCGUAAUGGAAAAUUACACAGACCUUAUUUUCUGUGAUAAUCCAAAACCCAAUGGAAAAAUCCCUUCCCCCCCCCCCCCCGAUGCUAACUUCCUGAUUGGCUUACAAAAAUACGUCAUCCCUGGAGGACACUACUAAUAAAAUAAGAUAAAACAUCA
Molecule: long non-coding RNA, 629 nt
Organism: Sebastes umbrosus (honeycomb rockfish)
Lineage: Eukaryota; Metazoa; Chordata; Actinopteri; Perciformes; Sebastidae
Exons: 2
Source: RefSeq, a predicted model, not a curated record